ACCCGCUGAAUUUAAGCAUAUCAAUAAGCGGAGGAAAAGAAACCAACAGGGAUUGCCCUAGUAACGGCGAGUGAACAGGCAAGAGCUCAGAUUUGAAAGCCUUUUUGGCAUUGUAUUCUGAAGUCAGUUUCCUGAGUAUCGGUGUUUAAGUCUUCUGGAAAGGAGCGCCAUGGAGGGUGAUAGCCCCGUACGACACCUCACUCAUUGUAGGAUUCUGACGUGGAGUCGAGUUGUUUGGGAAUGCAGCUCAAAAGGGUGGUAUGCUCCAUCUAAAGCUAAAUAUCUGUGAGAGACCGAUAGCGAACAAGUACUGUGAAGGAAAGAUGAAAAGAACUUUGAAAAGAGAGUGAAAAAGUACGUGAAAUUGUUGAAAUGGAAGGAUAUGCCGCUAACAAUGUAGAGCCGUGUUUGGGGGGAAGACAAAAGCUGAAGAAUGUAUCUCUUUUAGGGAAUUAUAACUUCAGUCAAUAUUCCCAUCCGGGCGCGAGGACCUCAGGCUCUACUAAAUGGUGGUCUAUCACCCGUCUUGAAACACGGCCAAA
Molecule: ribosomal RNA, 542 nt
Filed under: uncultured yeast
Lineage: Eukaryota; Fungi
Description: eukaryotic LSU rRNA
Rfam family: Eukaryotic large subunit ribosomal RNA
Source: RNAcentral